UUUAUCAUGCGAGAAUGGACCGAGUUGUUCCGUCAACUUGCAAUGGGCGAUAAUGCUGAGGUUGAAGCCACUCUAGACCGUUCCAUUCGAUUUGGUAGAA
This 100-nucleotide transfer RNA is filed under the name Paraglaciecola mesophila. Its description in RNAcentral is "tRNA-Ala". Lineage: Bacteria; Pseudomonadati; Pseudomonadota; Gammaproteobacteria; Alteromonadales; Alteromonadaceae. The record is from RNAcentral.